Molecule: non-coding RNA, 106 nt
Organism: Spinacia oleracea (spinach)
Lineage: Eukaryota; Viridiplantae; Streptophyta; Magnoliopsida; Caryophyllales; Amaranthaceae
Source: Rfam
AUUCCGUGGUGAGGGCACUCUCUUUGAUAUUCUUUGAACCUAUCCCAUGCCUCAAACAAGGACUCAUCUCUCUUUUGCUCAAAUGACUGGAUCUUAUGACGGUACU